AGAGGCCAACUGGGAGGUCCUGUGCGCCUGGGCGGGUUGAAGGUGGGAAUCUUUAGUCUGGCUUGACCAUAGCAUCAAUGUCAUCCAAUUGUGGGCAAAAAGAGGGUCUUCCUAGGUCUCUGAACAGUUCCUUCUUGUCACUCAGGACAGGAAUAUUGAUCCAUUUUCAGCCUUUCUAUAAACUUCCCCGAUCCCAGCCUCAGGCUUGGAAGAGGAGAUGGGGGUAGUGGGUGGGGCUGUGGAAGGCAGCCAUGUUCUGGCGCAGUAAAUCUUUCCCCAGAGACGAGAUGGCUGAGCUCAUCAGCCAGCUCUGGAUCUGCUCAGAAUGAACCCUUUCCAACCCCCAGAAGACCCUCAGCAGCUUGGGAAAGCAAUGGUUCAUUUGGGCGCUGGGUUUGUGUAUAUGGGACUGUCAGGCCGUGCAGGGCUGUCUGAUGACAUAUUAGAGCAGCUGAGAAGAGCAGACCUUUUGGAGUGGAGACAAAAAUGUUGGCCUACAGGGAAACUUGUGACCCCCUUGCGGUUUCCACCCCCACUUGCUUUGGAAAGCCCGCCCCAGGACUUUUCAUGAGCAGCUGGGCCCACAGCUUCCUCUCUUAGAACUCCAUUAAACUGUGAGUGAGGGAGGGAGAGAGGGUAAGGGAGUGUGUGUGUGUGUGUGUGUGUGUGUGUGUGUGUGCAUGCGUGUGCACGCGCACGCGCAGAGACGAACCAUCAUGUCUUUCUCGCCCAUUGCUCUUUUCGCUCUGCCAUUGUAUACAUUCCCAUGCCAGUCCCCUCAUAUCAUUCUCUCCGUUAAGCCUUCCUCUCCUCAUCUCUUCUACAACUUUCUGUACCUCAGCAAAGGACAAAAGGGGUCUGGAAUUUGCCUUGCAAAGCAGUUUCCUCCUUAGUGGUUUCAUCCAACAUCGUGGAUGCGAACAGAGUUGGGAAGGAGUGGGCAACAGAGUGGGAGCUGAUGUCUAGACCUCCCCACACAGACUCUAUGCCUCUGGAAUGCUGCCCUUGCCCCUCCACUAGAGAGCACACUUUUCUGGCUUGCACUAAGCCAGACGACCAAAAUACAGACACAGGAGGUGUCUUGAGGCUCAUCCCAUACGCAGUUAGAUUUCUUUCAGAUAAGCUUCACUGGAGAGAGACCAACAGCCUGGAUUUUGCCCCAGAUUCUCUGAUCUGAGUGCAGCCAGUUCUGGGAGCCCGUGCUUUUCCUUCUCUGCCUGGGUGAGCCACAACUUCUAAGCAUGCUUGGAGCCCUGGCAUUUUAUUCCAGCAUCCUUCUGAUCCUCUACUCGGAUAGAAUGGAAGUGAAAAUCUUAAACAGGAAAAAUGCUUCCCUCUGCAACUCCUACUUCUAUGAGUGGACUUUGCGCCAGCAUUCGGCCUCUAUAGCUACAUAACGCUGUUUGUGUAUCCUGCAGGAGAGACAGGCAGGUUUGAGGAGAUCAGCCAAGGGGACAGAUCAGUCUUGUCUGAACUAACGCAUCUAUGAAUAGAGUUGUGCUGAAUUGAGCCCACUGUCCUUUUACAUUGGUGGGUGUUUCUGUGGGUUUAUAAGCACAUUCUGGCUGCUUCUAGCUUGAAUAGAUUAAAUUUAUCCUUCUGUUCUGAGAAGUGUCUCUGGCCCCUAACGAGACCGAUGGCUUUUGAGGAAGGACUAAAUGACUUAUGACCAGAACAAUAAAGCAGCCCGAGUCAGUCUCCUCCAUGUCUACGUCAUGUAAUUUAUAGUGGCAAAGAAAACGGUACACAAACUAAAGCCAGGCACAAGGAUAGGGUGUGAGUUAAAUUAAACAUCUGUGAGAUAGAAUACUGGGUAGUCAUUAAAAUUGUAUCAGAAGAAAACCUGAGCUGGUGGGGAAAUACUCACACAACGUACCAUUAAAGGGAAAGUGAUUUAUGAAGUGCCACGCACAGAACCAACAGUUUUUAAGGAGAGCAUCAUGUAGGGUUUUUGUUUUUUUUAACUCCAAAAACCUGUCUACGAUGGUCACAGCAUGGUCUCUGGGUGAUAAGCUUACUUACAUUUAUUUCUUUAGAGGCAUUCGUUCUAUUUUUCCAGUUUUCUGCCAUGGACAUGUAUUUUCCAAAAUCAGUGGUGGAAAUCAUUAAAGAAAGGUUAUGUGAGGGGCUAGCAGAUGUGUCUCCCCUGCUUAUUAACCCCACAUCUUUCCUUGAAUUCUCCACCCUUCCCGCCAUGCGCACGGUGCCAGCAUCUUCCACAUCACUAAGGUGGAUGUUCUGCUGCAGUAAGAGCUUUGGAAGGUUUUGGGAAUUUGACCUGACGCUGAGAAUUCAUCAGUUUCGAGCCACAUCUUCUCCCAGCCAGCAGUGAGCAUCUCCGAGGAAUCUUAAGUGUAUUUCCAGGGGUUUGAAGAGGACAACGGCAAGCACUGACAGCUCCUCGGGAAAUGGCACUGAGAUGACCCAGCUGUCUUGAAAUUCUUAAUCCCAUUGGUGGCACACCUCCACACACACUAGAAAGUGGAGAGAACACAGCUUUCCUCCUGGGAUAGCCAGUCACUUCUUCUGCUCCAGGGGGUACCACAUUACCUAAGUAUGGAUCAUGGUCAAAUGAUGGCUUCUCCUGGUCAGCCUGUCCUUGGAAAAGCCACCCCCUGGUCGUAUUGGAAAAUUCCUCUUGUGUCUGUCACUGCCACACAUCAGAAGACCAAGAUACCCAUUUUCUCAGAAGAAAUCAACCAGCUACUGUCACUGAGAGCUACUGUCUGCUCCUGGAAACUUUUCACUGAUCCUCUCAGAACCAAUCCAGGAAAGUCAGGCCAAGAUGGAGGCUAGUAUUCCCCCAGCAUAGAAACCACCGGGCUAAGCCGAGUCUCUGCAAGGAGACUACGGUCUGGACCCAGAGAAGUAGUCUGAUGCUGACUUCUUUAAUAUUGCUGGAGUUCACUAAAGCAAUCAGCUUGAGACAGAUCAAGUUCACUUUUCUACUUUUUCAAAGAUUUAUGUAUAUGAGUACACUGUAGCUGUCUUCAGACACACCAGAAGAGGGCAUCGGAUCCCAUUACAGAUGGUUGUGAGCCACCAUGUGGUUGCUGGGAAUUGAACUCAGAACCUCUGGAAGAGCAGCUGGUGCUCUUAACCUCUGAGCCAUCUCUCCAGCUCCCUUGAAAUCAGCUUCAAAAAAAAAAAUAUGUCUUGCCUUGGAUUCCCAUUAUCCUAUCAGUCAGAUUUCAAAUCUAAACGAUCGAAUGGGAGUUGCUUCUCGGAAAAGGAAGUCUCUUUCUACAUAGAGUUGAGACCAGUGGGAAGUCUCAGGCCUGAGCCUCUUAUGGUCAAUUGUGAUGAAGGUGACAUUUCUGUUGUUAUUUGUCAGAGUGGACAGAAUACACCGUCAACUAUCUAUCGAUCACAUUAUGGGUGUACGAAACAAACAUUGGGAAAGAUUGUUUGAAAGAGCUAGCCGGGUCUAGGGGCACAUGCCUUUCAUUUCAGCACUCAGGAGGCAGAGGCAGGUGGUAUCUGUGAGUUUGAGGCCAGCUUAGUUUACAUAGUGAAUUCCAAAGUAGCCAGGCUAUAUAGUUAGGCCCCAUCUCAAACAAACAAACAAACAAACAAACAAACAACAAAAGUACUUUAGCAUAGUCCCCUCUUAGGAGCUUACAGCCCAGGAGAGUGUUUGAGAAUGGAGCUUAAGUCACAUAGUAAAGAGUGAGUCACAGCCACACAGAGGAGGACCAUUAAUCCACCCAAGCAUUCUGGGGAUGGUGUAUAGAAGGGAGACCUAGAUGUUGGGGCUAAUGUGAACCAGCAUUUUCCAAGCACCUGAACUGGCUUUUCCUGGCAGGAGUGAUGAGUGCGUUGACCAAGGCCCUUGAGAUCUGGGGAGUUAAAAACAGGGUGACAAGCUCUUAGGGAAUGUGAAUUCCGUUCACUGGGAACCAAGGCUAUACCCUUGGGCAGUAUGUCUGGUGGCCUAAAGCAUGUCUUAAUAUUUGAUGUAGUCAAACAUCUUAGAAAAGAGUUCCAAAGCUGGUAGCAUGUUCUUCUAGAGACUUCUCUUUUUACAAAAGAGAAGGUUCAAGUCUGCUUAAACAUGUAAGCAAAAAUUUGUAGAGAAAUAUUAAAGACAGCCUUAUGGUGAUGAAUCCAAACUUGGCAUGGUCCCUUACCUCACUCCUCCCACCUGUCCUAAAACCCUACUUUCCCCCA
Molecule: non-coding RNA, 4170 nt
Organism: Rattus norvegicus (Norway rat)
Lineage: Eukaryota; Metazoa; Chordata; Mammalia; Rodentia; Muridae
Source: RefSeq, a predicted model, not a curated record